Long non-coding RNA from Lycium ferocissimum, 3426 nucleotides. RefSeq lists it as uncharacterized. The record is from RefSeq and is a predicted model, not a curated record. The transcript is spliced from 2 exons. Lineage: Eukaryota; Viridiplantae; Streptophyta; Magnoliopsida; Solanales; Solanaceae.
CUUUUCUCCUUUUUUAAAUUUAUUCUUCAAUUAUUAUUACUUAGAAAAACUAAAAACCCUGGCCGAAACGUUGCUUGAAGGCAAAAUAGAGAAGACCCGUCCCUCUGUUUUCUUCACCAGACACAGUAUGGGAUAACUCUAAUCUCCCCAAAAUAGAAGUCUAGGCAAAAUCAACAAGGAGAAUUCGGCUCCACUGGCAGCGAAAUAGAGACAUAAAUUGUGGUUUGGUUCCAUCAUUGAGAAUUGGUGUCCGACUUGGUUCUGUGCUUUCCUUAGCCUGUUCAAUUUCAAUACAUGCAGUUUUCAGUUUUGUGGUGGAGAAGAAGCACACAACCGUUAUGAAUCUCAAUAUUUUAGUGGUUUUUUAAUAACAAUUGUCUCUGCAUUAACUGUUUUUGCGUCCAUAUAUGUCAAACGUACAUAGUGUUCAUUUCACCCAAGUUACUUUUAAACAUUAUUGGAAUAAAAAAUCCAUAUUACUCUUGGAUUUCAUAUUAAUUUUCUGUUCUUGAGAUCUAAGUCAUAGCAUAAGAGGUACUUUGUGGGAAUUAUUGAAUACUUAUUCAACAACAACAACAUACCCAGUGAAAUCCCACAAAGUGGGGUCUGGGAAUAUUGAAUACUUAUUAUUAGAUGUUAAAAAGAUUCCAUUUUGAAUGACUCAACUUGAACAUGAUAUGUGUACCUUCAAACGUCUUAAUAAUCAUAGUAUGAACAAUAAAUCUUCCAUAUUCUUGAUUUCUGAUCAAUUAUAGUUUGGUUUUAGCAAUUAAAUUUACAUAUUUUAGUAAUGUGCUUCUUUGUGAAAUUCAAAUGUUUUCAUUAUUUAGUUUUGAUCCAACUUUUCUAGCAUAGUUAAUGAUAUUAACAUGUUUGUUGUGUAUGUUUAUUUUAAUCUUUUAGACUUCUGCUUGAUUUUAAGUUGGAAUGUCGAGCACCUGUAAAUAUUUCUCUAUUUCAAACAAUCAAAUUCUAAUUGAUAUAUUUAGAGGAAAGUAUUUGUCAAUAAUAUCUGAGGUGUACCUGACUGAUGCUUAGUCCAUUUAAUUCCAUCACUGUUUAUCAUGGUCAUAAAUUAUUUUCCAUGAAUUAUUUCGACAGUUUUGAGAUAAAUACUUAGAGGAACAUGUUUCAACUUUCAACAACUUCAUCCACCAUUAUGACUUUUUUUACAAGUAGAACAGAUUUAUCUGAUGGAUCACUUCUAUAUUCGUCCUAGAAUGCGAGUUACAAGGUUUGCCACAUGAGCAAUUAAAAAAUCUAGCAUACAUCCAUAACACUCUAAAAUACUUCUUUGUACAACUUAUCGCUUACUGAAGUGCAAUUGCAACUGGGAAAAAAAAGAAGUGAAAUUGCAAUGGCAAUGACUCAUUUAGUAUGAGCUUUCUUAAUUGAGAGUUCCGAUCAAUUUUAUAUGAAUGUGACAAUGUUUCUCGGGAAAGCGUUUCUAAGAGAUCUUGCGCAAUCUAUUGGUCAUAAUAUGUUGGUUUCGGACAAAUCAUUUAAUUUGAAUAAGAAGUCUAUCCAACAGGGGCCAAAAAUCUUAGAAAAUCUGUCUUCCUUUGAUCUUUACUGUUUGUGAGGUGCUAUUUUCUUUCAACAAAACAAUUUUAGUUUUAGUCUAUGGGUUUCUGUUACAGUUUAACUAAAACUUUGUCAUAAUUUAAUGUAGUAGAGAAGGAAUAGUAUUUUUGGUAUCCGGUAGUUCUAUUUUACAAGGUAUUCAAAGGUUAUUGUGAUUACAUACUUUUUUCCAUAUGACCUGCAAAUGGUAUUUGGUUAGACUAGCUAUGAAGAAUGAGGAUCGCCUUCUUUUAAGUAUUUGUUGAGCAGGAUAAUUUUCGUUGGUUGCCAUAUGUUUAGAUAAUACUCUAAUAUCCUAUAGUUUAGGUAAUGCAAGUUUUUAAUGGAAACACAGAACCUCGAGAGUUUAUUUGUUGAUGACCAUGAAAUGGAGCCUUGUAUGUUCUUAUUUCUUUUCCUAGGAAAGGUGAGUUUCCUCAUAAACGUCUUUGAUUUUCUUUAAACGCAUUACAUUCAGUCCAAUUGGGAAUGACAUUGUUGUCAAUAUUGGGCCAAUAGUAAGUCUGUUAUCGAGAAUGUUGAUUGGAAUAGUAAGUCUGAGAUAGGACUAUUGAAUAUUGACAACAAGAAUGCACGAGAAAUUUCAUCAACAGUAAAAGAAGAGACAUGUAGAGGUUCUCUUUGUUAGCUCCUUUUUUCCUACAGAGGUAGGGGAGUUUGUUUCUCUUGGAUUUUUGACAAUGAUAAUGACAUUCGUUUUGCAGAUACCAAUAAAAUGACGGAAGGCUUUUUAGAUACAAUUUUAUAAUACAGUUUGAAAUUGAGGAGCCACAAAUACUACCAGUAUUCCAAAUAUUAAUGAUUGACAUGGUAAGUUUUUUUCUCUGCCUGAUAGUUAGACUAAAAUCAGUUGUAAAUAAAUAUAUUAUUGCGUGCAUUGUUAAUCCAUGUGUGAUUUUAAUGAUUCAAUCCGAUGGUUAUAUAUUGUGAUAACUUAAAACUUAAUUUAGUUAAUGUGUGUUUCUUCGUUUUUUCAUUCUUCUCUUGCAUAAUUUAGAUAAUUAUGAUUUAUUAGUGAAGUAGCGCACUAACAAAAAUGGAGGGAAAGUACCGUAGAUAACAUUCUCUGGAUUACUACUUUUUUCUUAAUCAAUUGGCUUCAACCUAAUCAGAGUUAAUCUUUCUGCUAUCCAGAGAAUGAUUAACUUACUCCAAGGUUUAAGCUCGCUUAUGGACCAAUAAAUUCUGAAUUUCCAUGAAAUAAUUUCAGAUAGAGGAGUAUGUCGACUAUGAGAAAAGUGGUUUCAAUUCCAAAUGUUAACUGAAUUUUGUAUUCUGAUUUUAAUAACUACUGAAAACAUAUAAAUUCAGGAACAAAGCGGUACAUUUUUAAGAUUUCUGAUCAUGUGAACAUGGUCUCUUUCUCUUCUCUUGGACCUUUGAGUUGGACGUAUAGUUGGUUCCACAGGAAAUUGUAGUAUGAGGAGAUAGAAGUAUCUGCUAUCAUGAAACUUUAAUAUAUUUAGCUCAUGAUACAAUUAAAAGUUCAGUUCUGUCCACAACAAUGCCAAAAUUAUACAUGUCCAAUCAAUAUAGGAUUAAGGUUAUCUAUAUGAUCUAAUUUAUGGUAUAUCGGCAGUGCUUUGGAUGGUGCUCCUCUUCCUAUGGAUAGUUACUAUGGUAAAAAGACGGGAAAUGUGGUUCUUAUUGAAUUUUGUACCAAACUGAAAUGGUUUAGGAGAAAGAAAUGGUGAUAGAAGCAGAAUUCCCAAGGCUUUCAUUUGUACACGAAAUACUAUAUAUGUGUUGAAUAGAUUCCUUUUCCGUAGCUACUUACAAGUAUAUUCAUUUCUUAAAAUUUGAAUGCGGUAUAAUACAUAUAUUACUUUACUUUUCAUAGAA